UAUUUAAUCUCUAGAGAUUUUAUUUUUUGCUCUAAUUCUAAUUCAGGUAGCAUGUCCUUUUUUUUCUUGUGCGAUGAAUAUGAAAUUAUUCUACCGCGCAUAACUGCCUUCCCAGUCUCCCAAAGAACACAGGGUGAGGUUCCCCUAAUUAAAGUUCCCUCCUACUAUAAGUUUGGAACCAGAGUGAGCAGACAGUGAUGUGAAGAAGCUGUGAAAGAAAGAGGGGUCGUCAACAUUAGGGCCAUACACAUUAGCUAUGCAAUAUUCAAUGUUUCCUAUCAAGAUAUUAAUGAUUAUAUAUCUCCCUUCUGGAUCUACAAUGGUAUCGUUAUGAGUAAAGAUAAUCUUUUUAUUUAUCAGGACAGCGACCCCUCUUUGUUCAGAAUUGUAACCGGAUAAGUAAGCAUGUGGGAACUCUGUUGAUGCCAGAGUAUAAACUAUAGUUUUGGGAAUAUGAGUUUCCUGUAGUAAAGAAAUGUCUGCUUGUAGGGUUUUCAAAUGAUUAAAUAUUUUAAAUUGUUUCCCCUUCUUAUUGAUUCCACGUACAUUCCAAGUAACAAUCUUCAGUGGUGUCAUAUCUUACCUGACUGCUGUGGAUCACUAGUCUUGUGUGUAUGUAGUGUGACAGACUUUAGGCGUGUGGCUAACCUUAAGUACCUGUGUAUUCUGAGUCAUGUGUUAUCUAUCUACGUGCACGUGUUUCCCCUGUGCAGUAGAUGUUUGUGUGUGGCUGCUGGAGGGCUACAUAGCUGGCUGACUACGUGGGAGGAGAAUAAAGAAAAGAAGGAUGUAAACAGUGUGGAGUGAAAGUAGGUGAAGGAAAAAGAGUAAAGGGAAGGAAAAUUAAAGUGAAAGGAAGGUGAGUGAUUAAGCAUGAUGGGCGCUUUGCAAAGUCAGUGAGUGAGUGACAUUAGCAUGACAAAAAACAUUUACAUGAAACAUCUGCGAGGGAACAAGUUUGAAUACUGGAUGUAAAGUUAUAACACUUAGUUGCAUUGCAUCUAUUAUUUUUUAACAAACCUUUUAUAUUAAACCAUUUUUGUUACAUACCACCUGCUAGUACAGCUGAUGACAGCCCUGCAGCCUUCUGCCAUGAAAUUUUUGCGCAUGGGGAAUAGUUGGCGGCAGCGGUCGAGGAUCUCCUUGGGAAACUGAUCGUUGACUCUGUAGUCGGUUCCCUUCAGCUGUCUGCCUCGGCUCUUAACCAGUUCCUUCUGCUUAAAGUCAUAAAACUUGGCAAGGAUGGGUCGAGGGCGCUGGCCAUCCGGUCGUCUUCCUCCGAGUCUGUGGGAACGGUGAAACGCCAUCUUGUCGACAACCUCCUCUGGAAUCUUCAUCUGUUGUUCAAGGAAGUUUUUUACGGUGGUUUCCGCGUUUUCCUCUGCCUGCUCUGGAAUCCCAGAGAACACCAGGUUGUCCCUCAUGCUGCGGGCCUGCAGAUCAAUGAUGCCUUUUUUUAUUUUCGGACGCUAGCUGAGCCACAUCCUCCUUCAGGGACUGCACCGUUCCCUUCAGGGCCUCGUUCUCGGUGGCGAGAGAAACCACCUGCUGCUGGCUAAAUUCCAGGGAGUCGCGGACGGCCAUAAACUCUUUGUGGAGGAGAUCCACUAGCGCCAGACGCGCGUCGAAGCUUGUUAUUUUUUUCUCUAUGGACUCCAUGAUGUCCGUGAUGUUUUUGUUAGCUAGAUAGCUAGCUCCAGGUGACUCAGGUGAGUCAGACGGACGGGAUCUCUUGUUUGGAGCUGUGUCUUUUUUCCCCAUUACCAGACGCUUGAAGCACUCGUCGAUGUACUCGAAACUUUCUUCGUGUUAUCCAGAAUGGUAAGAUGUUUGAUUGUUUUCCGUAGAAUGAGGUAGUUAUUUAUUUAUUUAAAUUGGCGGAUAGUUUGUCGCCGCCUUGUUGAAUUUCUCGUGCUGUUGUCGAGUCUUGCGUUCUCUCACAGCCUCGCGCUCCCUCACAGCAACACUAGUUUCCAGUUAUCUUUUUCUAAAACCUCUGAAAUAGAAAGAAACAGAAACAGUUUUGAAUCGGUCUGCAAUGUUUUGGAGUAGAGGCUACACAGCUGUUUUUAUAAAACAGGGAAAACAGCUGCAUAUUGAAAAUAUUUUGUAGAGCAGGAUUAAAGUACCACCAAACAUUUUGUGUGUGGGUAAAACAUCAAGUGGGCUGAAAGAGGUCUUACUUUCAGCCCACUUGAUGAGGAGAUACUUCUCAUCACUUUAGUUUAUUUAUUCAAUAAAAUUGGCUCAAAAUAAUCUAAUAUUAAUUUUUUUAACAUUGUUGUUGCCAACUGUCAAAGGUCCUUUAACUAUUACGAGUCACCAUGGCAACAGGACAACAAAAGAGGUCCGGAAAGGGAUAUGACCUCAAGCAAAUAUCGACUACGAGCCUAUAUUUCGUAGAAAAAGCAACACGGCUGCAGCGGCAAAAGAGAGAGAAUUCGCUUGGAAGAAAAUAGCUGCUCAAGUCAAUGCGCGGAAUCCUGCAGGUAUAAAAAGAACGUGGCUGAAAAUGAAAUAUAAAAACAUAAUUCAAACAGCCAACAGAAAGAAGGCAGAGGCUAGAACAACAGAGCAUGCAGAGGAGAUGGCCCUUGGCAUGAACACUGGAAAGCAGAGGCUGAAGGAAUUCCUGGAGGGAGUUCAUCAGAACCAGUCACUCCCCAGGAUACAAGUGCAUGUGUAAAAUAGUGUGGAAGAACAGCAGGAGGACGGUCCAUCACAUUCUGCUGCACAGAUGCACACAGUUCAGUGAUGUUCUGUAAAUGCCAGAGUUUAAUUCUGUAAGAGUAAUGAGGAACUAUGUCAUGUAACUCUAAAUCCUCUGUAUGUCCAGUCACCGGUUAAGGAGUUGUAUAAACUUCAUCUUGUCAAGAAAACAGUUAUACUUGGACCACAAGAUUGAAAAGACAGAUCUAGAAAUUGAAAUUCUCAAAAAAAAAAAAAACAAAA
Molecule: long non-coding RNA, 2952 nt
Organism: Betta splendens (Siamese fighting fish)
Lineage: Eukaryota; Metazoa; Chordata; Actinopteri; Anabantiformes; Osphronemidae
Exons: 4
Source: RefSeq, a predicted model, not a curated record